Non-coding RNA from Pelobates cultripes (western spadefoot toad), 316 nucleotides. The record is from the annotation of a GenBank genome assembly. Lineage: Eukaryota; Metazoa; Chordata; Amphibia; Anura; Pelobatidae.
UGUGUGUGUAAGGGUGCUCUUUUUGUGGUAUGUGUGUGUGAGGGUGUUUGUGUGUGUGUGUGUUUGUUAGGGUCCUGUUAGUGUGCUGUGUGUGCGAGGGUGCUGUUUCUGUGCUGUGUGUUUAAAAGAUUGCUAUGUGUUUGAGGGUGCUGUAUGUGCGAGGGUGCUGUAUGUGUGUGGGUGCUGCAUGUGUGUGCUGUGUGUGUGUGGGUGCUGUGUGUAUGUGUGUGCUGUAUGUGUGUAGGUGCUGUGUGUGUGCUGUAUGUGUGUGGGAGAUUGUGGAGGGUGGAGGUGGGGGUACAUUACUUAAUAUCCC